GUUAAGCUGAAACCUCCGCCCGGAGGAUGCAGACCCUACAGGAAGAACAGACAAGGUGCAGACCCACUUGGGGGCUGGUGUCUGCUUACAGGUGCUCACUGUCGACUCCUCUGUCCCCCAGUGAUGCCGUGCUUGGGACCUGAGCCUGUGCAGUGGAGUUAUUUAUCUUGGGCCCUUACAGUAAGGGUAGAGUCCUGUGAGUCCCCAGCUUCACAAAGACAUCUCCAAAAGACCCUCUGCUUGGGCCGGCAUAUAAUCCUCGCUGUUGUUUACCUUUGGCACUGAUGGCGUGGGUCACCCUGUCUGUCAUGAAAUCCUUUGAGGGCUGGUGUUCCGGAGGCUCACGUGAGAGGCAUCCAACAAAUGCCACCUGCAAGGGGAGCCUGAAAGAUCAUGGAUCUUCCAACAGGGAGCGUGGGCAGAGGGACCUCACGGCCAUUCUCCUCUUCCGGUCCCCUUGCUGGAAGGACAAAGGCCAGGGGUCUUAGUCACUUUCCUCGUUGCUGGGACACACUGCCUGAUGCUCACAACUGAAAGGAGGAAAGGUUUGGAGAUGUUAGUCCACAGGCGGCCGGCUCCCCGGCAGGGCGGCAGGGCGGUGGGGCAGAGGGCCCUGGCAGAGGAGAGCUGUGCAUGGCCUGGUAUCCAGGAGGUAGAGAGAUCAAGGAGGAGCCAGGCCACACCCCCAGGUGCCCCCCUCGUGGAUCAGCCCCUACCCCCAGCAGCAUACAGCCGUACUGCCCCAUAAUCCAGUCACCUCCAGAAGCCCCACCAUGAGUGCCUGAGGCUCCCAGGGACAUACAGCUGUAAACCAUACACCGGGCCAGCGAGCCUGCUGCACUCCGAAUUCCGGGGCUCCGGGCCCAGGUGCCUGAGGAUGGGAACCCUGAUUGUGUUUCAGGGUUGUUCCUGAAUACCAACUCCAUCCUGGGAUUUGUUGGGAGGUACCAGUCCCUUGAGAGGAAAAGAGGAGAGCCCUUGCCUGCAGGGACCUGCAGUCCUGACCCUGGCCAUCCUGGAAAGCAGAUCCUGCUACGAGCCGGGAAGGUGCUGGGCCCAGGCACGGGCCACUCCCACACGCUCCCACACCCGGGUUGCCACCUCGCUCCCCAGGAUGGCUCCAGCUGGGUGGCAGAAGCUGGACCAGGAGGCAGGGAGCCCACGUGUGCGAGGCAGGGGUGGAUGCCCCUCCCCCAGUGUCCCUGGGAGAAGCCAGGAGGGAGGCGAAGACUUCCUGUCCACGUUCGAGAGACCCUGGGCUCUGCCUCCUGCCCCAGCGCAGUAGCCUCCUCUGAGCACCAGGUCCCAGGACGGAGGAGGAGGAGGAGGAGGGGGAAGGGGAG
This 1343-nucleotide long non-coding RNA is filed under the name Fukomys damarensis (Damara mole-rat). Its description in RNAcentral is "lncRNA (ENSFDAG00000032777.1)". The record is from RNAcentral. Lineage: Eukaryota; Metazoa; Chordata; Mammalia; Rodentia; Bathyergidae.